GUGAACAGGCAAGAGCUCAGAUUUGAAAGGCACUUUUGUGCCGUUGUAUUCUGAAGUUAGGGUCCUGAGAAACGAUGCUUAAGUCUUCUGGAAAGGAGCGCCAUGGAGGGUGAUAGCCCCGUCUAGCAUUGACCUCAUAUAGGAUCUUAACAUGGAGUCGAGUUGUUUGGGAAUGCAGCUCAAAUGGGUGGUAUGCUCCAUCUAAAGCUAAAUAUCUGCGAGAGACCGAUAGUAAACAAGUACUGUGAGGGAAAGAUGAAAAGAACUUUGAAAAGAGAGUGAAAAAGUACGUGAAAUUGUUGAAAUGGAAGGGUAGGCCGCUAACCAUGUAGAGCCGUGUUUGGGGGGAAGAUAAAUGCUGUAGAAUGUAGCUCCUCGGAGUAUUAUAGAUGCAGUUCAUAUUCCCACCCGAGCGCGAGGAUCUCAGGUUCUACUAAAUGGUGGUCUACCACMCGUCUUGAAACACGGACCCAAUGMCMUUUAGUAGAACCUGAGAUCCUCGCGCU
This 506-nucleotide ribosomal RNA is filed under the name Starmerella bacillaris. Its description in RNAcentral is "partial large subunit ribosomal RNA". The record is from RNAcentral. Lineage: Eukaryota; Fungi; Ascomycota; Dipodascomycetes; Dipodascales; Trichomonascaceae.